CAGACAGCUUUAUUUGGACGUACCUGGUCUGAACAAUUCAAAACCACAUUUCUUAUUGUAAGGGAGGCAGAGCUGGGCUCAGAGAGGUUCAGGAUGAGAAGAAAUAAAAGACUAUCUUUAGAGUAAUGCAUUCUGUUUCCCAGCUAGAUCUGUCCUUAGGUCUUACUAAGGACAUGUAGAAAGUGUUAUAACUCCCAUUCCAUGUGAAGCACAGUCUGGUCCGACGUUAACAGCAUUCUGCUCACAGCCAUGGUAACUUUGCCUGGCUGUUCUAAGAUUUUUCUGCAGCCACUGGAAAAAUGUGAAUUUUAAUAUUCCACCUGAAUAUAACAGAAAUAUGAAUACCAGAAGCUCUCGAAGCAGAACUCAUCCUUGGGCUCGUGAGUGGAAGUGAUGGCUUUCUUGACUUCGUACACUGUUGAAGAUUCAACAAAUUUCCCCUUCAAUCUCCACAUACUCCAGAGAAGGAUUCCAAAAAAGAUGAUACUUGAAUUUCCCUAAAGCUUCACAUUUUAUGGAACAUGUAGUACAAAGACUGAGAACCGUGGCUUCAGCAUGAUUGUGUUCACAUCCAGUGAGGGUUGCUCUGGAUGGAGGAUGAGGAAGAAAUCGAGGAGAUGUGUGGGAGCAUACCUUAAUCAAAAACAGCAGAGAAGAAGAAGACACAUUGCAGAGCAGCAGAUGAGAGGAUUUCAUAUCUGCCACAAACACCACAAGAAAAAAGGACAAAGCCUUCUCUGCAGUGGGAAAAGAACCUUAAUGGACAGCUCUCUUUCAGCAAGCCUUAGGAAAAACAACAUGCUUCUAAAAAGGCUGUAAAUAAAUUGAAAUUCAGUCUAAGUGAAUGCAGGCUGGUACGUUUUGGGUGGAGGGAGGAAAGCGAGGAGUACAAAGUAAGAGGCACUUGGAGUCAUGAAAAAAGCUGAGAAUCAAUAAACAGACUGAAGAACAGUGAACA
Molecule: long non-coding RNA, 958 nt
Filed under: Parus major (Great Tit)
Lineage: Eukaryota; Metazoa; Chordata; Aves; Passeriformes; Paridae
Description: lncRNA (ENSPMJG00000011057.1)
Source: RNAcentral